Molecule: long non-coding RNA, 621 nt
Organism: Lycium barbarum (goji berry)
Lineage: Eukaryota; Viridiplantae; Streptophyta; Magnoliopsida; Solanales; Solanaceae
Exons: 2
Source: RefSeq, a predicted model, not a curated record
AGCACCGUUGCCACAAAAUUUGUAUUAACUUUUCUGUUAAAUUAGAUUGUUUUAUUUUAUUCAAGUUUAAAUGUUUGUUCUUCACUUUCUGCUUAAUACAUGUACUUGAUUUGAAUGCUAAGACCCAAACCAAAUAAGUUGCUAUAUAACUUUCUAAGGUAUAGUAUAUGGAGAUCAGAUUGGUAUGUAGAAUGAUUAAGUUUUGGUUUUGGCUAGAAAGAGAUAGGGACAGGUUCUCUGUUUCUACUCAAUUGGUUUGUACGAGUCCCGAUAGUCUUGUCAAGUGAAUCUCUUUCAUGUUCUUCCCGUAAUCAUACUACAGUUGCUGCACUCCUUGUGGAGCAUAUUCGGUCCCGAUCACGAGUGUGACCCACAAAGCUGUUUGAGUCCGAGGCGGUGAUUUUAGGAAAUCGUGGUGAGCUGCUUGACUGAUUGGCAACACCCUUAUCCCUCCAUCCUUUCAUUAUUAAUGUCUUUCCAUUGCACUAAGAUAGUGUAUUAGUGAAUUUUAAACUUGUACUUUUAUUCGUAGUGGCUCUUGUACAUAUGACAACAAUCUUAGGUGGUAUAUUUUGAUUUCCUCACUUGUUUCUUUAUAAAAGUCUCAGUAUUUGGAUAUUA